RNAcentral lists this long non-coding RNA (3344 nucleotides) under Sus scrofa (pig). RNAcentral's name for it is "lncRNA (ENSSSCG00000046608.2)". Lineage: Eukaryota; Metazoa; Chordata; Mammalia; Artiodactyla; Suidae. The record is from RNAcentral.
CAUAUGGAGGUUCCCAGGCUAGGGGUCUAAUCGGAUCUGUAGCCACCGGCCUACACCAGAGCCACAGCAACGCCAGGUCUUCGACCUACACAACAGCUCAUGGCAACGCCGGAUCCUUAACCCACUGAGCGAGGCCAGGGAUCGAACCCACAACCUCAUAGUUCCUAGUCAGAUUCGCUAACCACUGCGCCCCGACGGGAAUUUAGAAAGAUGUAGAGCUGAGUGCCAUCCACGUCCAUUCUCCACCCUUCCUUUCCUGGGCUCUUAGCUCUGCGUGAAGAUUCUUCCUCAGAGAUAAAACGGGAAGAGGAAAUCCCACAGGCUCCCUGAGUGUUCACUGCAGCGGGUAGGGGGGUGGAUUCUAACCGCCCUGGUCAAUCAGCCUUUAAAACCAGUUACAGGCCACUUCACACCCACUGGGAUGGCUAUUAUCGGGAAAAAAAAAAGCAGCUCCUGUUGUGGCUCAGCAGAAAUGAACCAGACUAGUAUCCAUGAGGACGUGGAUUCAAUCUCUGGCCUUGCUCAAGGGGUUAAGGAUCACGGUGUUGCCGUGAGCUGUGGUGCAGGUCACAGACAAGGCUCGGAUCUAGGGUUGCUGUGGCUGUGGCCUGCAGCGGCAGCUCCGAUUCCACCCCCAGCCUGGGACCUUCACAUGCGGCCCUUAAAAAAAAAAAAAAAGGGUUGGCGAGGAUGUGGAGAAAUUGGAAUGCCGUGCCUUGCCGGUGGGAAUGUAAAAUGCUUCAGCUGCCACUGGCAAACAGUAUGGCAGCGCCUCAAAAAACGUGGAAUGACUGUAUGAGCCAGUAAUUCCACUUCUGGGUUCAUACACGAAAGAAAGGAAAGCAGGGACCUCAGUGGAUAGUUGCCCCCCCACGACCACAGCAGCAUCGUUCACAGCCACAGAGUGGAAACAAGCCCAGCGUCCGUCGACAGGCUAUAGAGGAUAAACAAAAUGUGAUACGGACACAGAAUGAAAAAUUAUUCAGCCUUAAGUUGGAAGGAACCUCUGACACAGGCUACAGCACGGAUGAACUCUGAGGGCCCUAUGCUCAGUGAUGCCCUGAGGACGGCAGAUGCAGAAAGAAAAGACCAGCACAAUUCUCCUUGUACGAGGUACCUACAGUUGUCAAAUGGAUAGAGACCCAAAACAGAAGGGUGGUUACCAGGGGCUGGGGGUGGGGGGAAUGGGGAGUCAGCGUUUAAUGGGCACAACGUUUCCAUUUGGGAUGACAGAGAAGUUCUGGGGAUGGCGACGGGGACACUUGCGCAACGGUGCGGAUGGAACAUAAUGGCCUUUACUGCACACGUAAGGAUGGUUCAGACAGUCAUUCUAUGUGAUAUACGUCUUACUGUAACUUUCAAAGUGGUUAGAUUUUUUUUUUAAUGUAAGGGAAGAAGGUACAAGCGCAGAGACGAUAAUGCUCCCUUAGAACCGUCCCCUUGAGGGCUUCGGUCACACGCUGCAGAACUGGUCCCCAUAGGCCAGUAUCUUGGACACCUUUUCCAGGCUUAAAGCACAACACUGGCCCCCAAAUCGCUACCGACCAUGUGCUGACCCGAAACAGUUGCACCAGUGUCUAAAGAACCAUCCAGCAGGCAUCAAUAUUUGGAGAAUGAACACGCAGGGAAGUCUGAGGCAAGUGAUUGGAAAGGCGUUUCUAAUUAGGGAGCGGGAACCCUCCACUGAUGGCAGAGGGCCUGGCUGAAAUCCCGAGUGACCUGGCGGAACCGCUGGCAGGCAGGGUGGUCCUCCCGCCCUGUCCCGUCCCGUCCAGCUGGGGCUCUCGGUCCAGUGACAGAGGUCACUAAAGAGACACGAGGUCAGGGCCCCCCUUUUAGGCGAAGGCGGCGGGUCUGAAAACCAUUAAAAUCAGACCCUAACACAGGUCUUUUCCAAAUACCUGGGGACCUGAGGAACCCGAGAAGGGACUGCGGGUCAGAUUUCUUUCCGGAGACCCAGUCCCUCUGUCAUUUGCCCGAAUGGGGCCACUUCUGUUCUCAGCAAGUGCGGAAGACCCCUGGUUUCAGGCCAUCUAUGUCAAAACCUGUGCCAACACGCCAAACGUGGGAGGAGGGGAUGGCUCACAUGACAAAAGGAAUUCUUCGACAGAAACCUGCCACUUCAGCAUUCCUCUCGCUUACAAACUUCCUCCAGGCCUUUCCCAUGUCCCGUGAUCCACCGAGAUUGGUUUUGCACAGCUAUUGCUCCCUGCCCAGACCUCAUGGGCGAAGCAAGGGAGCCCGGGUGAUUUUGCAUAGACCGUCUUUCGCCAGUGGCAGAGUUCAAAGGGAGGAAUUUCAUUCAGGACCAUAAGCCCUCUUGGGAAGUGAGCAGGGAGCACCCAUCCUGGGAGGGAGGGGCCAGAGGACCCCAACCAGGUCCAUGGUGACAAGGGGACAUCGCCCAGGACCAUGCCGGCCAGACACAGAAGUAGCAGGGUCUGUCUGUCUGGACACGUAAACAAAUGUCCCAGGGCGCUGUCUCUUAAAGGGCCUCUUCCAGGCUCCUGGGAACUCUCAACCCCCAGGGAAGGAGGCAGGUCUCAGUCCUGAAGACCAGAACUGUAGUGCUUUAUGGUUCACCCAAAUGCAGUUCACUUCUGUCCUCACCAAGUACAAAGGGCACCUGAUUUCAAGACUUCUACGUCAAAGCCCGUGCCAACAAACCAAAUAAGUAUAUGGGGGGGGUGCGACCAGGUGGGGGUAAGCCUGGAAGACUUCUCAGAAGAGGCGGAGUAGAAAAGCUUUACGGCUGGGUUAUACUUCAGCGGGAAAAGGCUCCGUUCUGGCUUUAGCUGGCCAGGACGUCAGUGGACUCCCUGUUUCCUAAUGUGUCCACUGAUAGUGAAAAAGCCUGGGGAGCUUGUUAAAAAUGCAGACUCUGAGCACUGCCCGCCCCCGCCAGCCCCGUGCACUCACAAACCAACACAGAAAUGUCUAAAAGUGGGGGAAGGGGGAUGGUUGCUAAGAAUACUCAUUUUUAUUAGGCUCUCCAAGCAUUUCAUUCAUAGCGUGCAGGCAGUGGCGGUAGGGGUGGGGGGUGCUAGGGGAGCAGGUUCAAGUGCACUGGCUGAUCUGGGAAAAGCUGGGCAGGGAGGGCCCACGAGGAGUCCCCAAGGAGAGGGACGAGGCAGGUGUAGACAGACAGAGGGCUGUUCCCCAACUGUUUAGUCACAACAUCCCCAACCCCGCUCCCACCAAGACUUCCUGUUAUGAUCCUCCCUGGAGCUGGCUGGUGAUAGAAAGCGCCUGUGCCAGUGCACGAAGGGCGGGGGAGAGAGAGAGAAGGGAACAGAGGGAGAAGGGGGCAGAGGGAGAGAGAAGAUGAAUGCCUUUCAGUUUAC